CAAACUUAGUGCGAGUUGUUUAUUAAUUUUGUUAAGGGAGGAAAAGAAAGUCUUGUAUUUAAUCUGGAAUAAAAAUACUUUCAAGAUCUCAAAACUUUUGGCAUCUUCUUUUUUUCCUGCACAGCCUACUGAGAACUGGGUUUAGUCCAGAAAACUGGUGGGAGAGGCUUGGAAAUGCACAGAAGCACAUAAUCUCUCAAAUCAGGCUUCUAAUGGAAAAUGGGCCAACCAUCUUGCACAACCAGGGAGGUUCAGAGGAAGUAAAGUUCAAAAGGAGAUGCUGGGAAGGAAGCAAGAAUCUCACACUUCUGCAGUUGGAACUAUGAAAUGUUAAUUAAGUAUAAAGGAAAAACAUGUUGAAGCACUUCGGAGUUACAUCCAAGGCAGAGGAAGCAUCAUGAAUAUAAUUACAACAUGGCAUGCCGUCUUGCAAAGUUGACUGGAAAACAAAUCCUGAUGCAUGGGAUGGAAUGAGCAGGUCCAACUGGUGGGGACAAGGAAUGGAGGUGAAUGGCAGUAGGCUAAGAAAUGUCCUUUCUUCUCUCUGACUGAUGCCAUCCAAGGUAGCUCCUCAUUCUCUGGGUAGGUACCAAACUGUGCCGGGUUUGUGUCCUCUGAAAAGCUAACAUUUUGGGGGAAGAAAAUUUCAAGGAACGACUGGAUGUUGUGUUGAGGGACAUGGUUUAGUGGGAGCUAUUGGUAAUGGGUGAACGGUUGGACUGAAUAAUCUCUUAGAUCUUUUCCAACCUUGGUGAUUCUAUGAUUCUAUAAGAGCAGAGACCCUGCCCAGGCACUGAGUGGGCUUGAUCCACCCAUGAAUGCUUGUUCCUUUCAUGUUAAGAAGGAUGAAAGAAGGGCAAAGUGUGUAAGUAAGCCCUCACUUAAAAAAAGGAUUUCUGGUUCAGUCUAGGUGUAGGCAAAGUUCAUGCAGAUCUUGUCAUAUUAGCAUAUGUGCCAUUUACUUGCGUUUUUCUUUUCCCUAGUGCUUUUGUCCUAAACUGGUUAUUUUGGAUUGCAAAUGUGAGGCAGUGAUCAACGGAUUUUCUGUCAUCAUCUGAAGGAGCAGAGCUCUGUGGUUGCUGAAGUGAACUCAGAACACAGAAGAACAGUCACCACGACUUACAGGGAGAUCUCAGGUCAGUGCCCUGCUCAGGAAGAAAAGAAAGAGGUUCUGAUCAGAGGAAGAUAACAGCUUGUCCUUAAAAUUAGACAUGCCCUUCAGGAGGAGACUGUGCAGGGAUCGCAGUUUUCAUCAGCUCUAGAGAUGUAGUAAUUGCUAGAGGGGUCAUUUACUUAUGUAUUUGUGGUAACUCUAUUCAUUAUUAC
This 1326-nucleotide long non-coding RNA is filed under the name Coturnix japonica (Japanese quail). RNAcentral describes it as "lncRNA (ENSCJPG00005011864.1)". Lineage: Eukaryota; Metazoa; Chordata; Aves; Galliformes; Phasianidae. The record is from RNAcentral.